CACGGAACAUGCUCUUCAACAUAGGAAGAAGUCAUCAACGGUGUUCUAUCAACAACACAAGCUCCAUUCACCUACAAGAACAAAAUGGAAUAUCAAGUACUUGGAUCGUUCAAGCAGAUUACAACCAACAUAUAUAUAUGUAGAAGUACAUCAAGAAAUAUGAUGGAGCAAUCGGACAACAAAUACAUUAAGUAAACAACCCAACCGAUGAGUGAUGACGACAAGCAAAGAGUAUAAACCCAGGUUUGGACAUACAUAGUGUCAACUCAAGCAGAACAUAAUAAGGCAGUAAACUCAAGAAGAACAUAAUUAAGCACGAUGAAAGGGACCAUCCAAUUAAAUUCCAUUCCCAUCUUCUUCAGUAAGGACAGGCAAAACAUCCCAGCAUAUCUCAAGUCGAUGAAUUAUUCUAGCAAUAACCAAAUUAGAAACAUCCCUUGUUGUUCCAUUUAACCAUACUACAAGACUGUAGAAGAAUCACUCUUGGUGAAUCAAAUCAUAGCAAAUCGAGCAACAGAUACAAGAGGCACAUCAGGCCUAGCCAUUUUCGUUUCAGUAAUUUAGAAAGAGGGGCGAUGGGGCACGGAACCUUGAGGCCCUGUUAUGGGGUUGUGUUUGAUGAAGGUUGCCCUUUGGGGCGGCAGCUGCAGCUCCUCCAGAUGCAGCAGCAGCACCUCCAACCGGCACGACGGCGGUGACAACACAAAUGGUCACCUGUGUGACAUUUCAGAUCAUCAUUACAGAAUUUAAUUUAUUUAUUCAAGACGCAAGCAGCAAAGAUAGUGUCCACCUUCGCAUAUAGAACCGAGCAUAGAUUUACAUCACAUCAAUGAUUCAAGUAGUUCAAGACUUAAUUACUUUUUCAACAUCAGGGUAAGAGAUAUGGAACAAAAAUGCACAAAUGGUGCCUAUUGAGUUAGAGCAAGCAAUAUAAAGGGGCACAACUGUGUGAAACUGUUAUCAGCAUUGUUUCAAAGUUUACUGUGGCAUAUUUUUCAUGAUCAGUAUGACUUCUUAUAAAUAAUAACCAAUAGUACUGCCGCCAGAUCCUUACACAUGUAUAAUGGCAUGAAUAGAGCAAUAGAGCAAUGCCCAAUCCUUACACAUGUAUAAUGGCGUGAAUAUGCAAGUUAGACCUAGAUGUUACUAACAAGUGUUAUUUGCAUAAUUAAUGAAUAAGUGUGGUAUUUCUGACUAGCCAGAAUCAAUCUUUGUGCAUACAUCUGGCCAUGUUGUUCCUUGCCAAAUAAGCUCCCAAAAGCAGUAUUAAUAAAAUUGAAACAGAAUAACAUUUACAGGACUACAUGAACCACAACAAAAAAAAUUCUGUUGCGAGUAAGCUACUUGCCUUUGUCCAUUUGCUCCCACCAAGUCAAUCUAUUAUACAUCCCUUGAUCAUCAGCGAAUGGAGUUCCCUUCUUCCAGUGGAAGAAGUUGUAUGUAAUCUGAAAUGAAGAUUCAGUUAGGAAAGCAACGACAAUAGAGAAAUAAUUUCUAGAUAGUAUGUUUCAAGCUAUAAUCUUAUGAGAAAAAUAGCAAUAAUUUGUACUUCCAGAAUUGAGGUUGGGCCAACUAGAACUACAGUAUUUACUGCCAGAAUGAUUUCAUGAAUUUUGCCACUACAUGAUUAUAUUUAAAGUAGCAAAAGAAUUAUUAAAUGUAGGCUAUUUAUUUGGCUAUUAUGAAACAGUAAACCUUCAAACUAGAAUACACUUUAUUAGUUGGCAGGAUUGGCGAAUGCGUCGUAGCAAUCUAAGAAACAGAAGUGCAUUUCUAUGUGGUAAAAUGAUGUGCCUAGUUGCUGAAAAAUGAUGUUUAUUUAUGUUGACAGAAUGCUUUUGAGGAGUUGGCAUCCAGUUCUUAUUGAGCUAUACAAGGAGGCUAGAAUUGAGCAUUGUCGUGCAACUAGGGACUUGAGUAGCUACGACUUCUAUGUGCAACAUGUGCUCAUCAACAACAAAAAUUCCCACGCUCAUCAAUUAGUAGAAAUGAAACUGAUAGUAGUAUAGUAGGUGUGGUCUGGUCCUUGCAGCAAAAAAACUUGCACUUAUGCAUCAGAGAGAGGGGGGCUACCAAAUUGAGUUGCUAUUUCAUCCAUGGUGGUGUCCCUGCAUCCAUGUAGCUGCUGCUGCUGACCUUGAAGAUGCAGCUCGUCGUUCUGCUAUUGUACCAAACGAACCUUGUCGCUGCUGCACGCACAAUAACAAAUAAGAAGUGGUUUGUCAGAUCAAACCGGAACCUUCCAUGAGAGAGAGGGGGGGAGAGGGAGGGAGGGAGAUUUCAAACCUUCCAUGGGCAGUAGCUAGGAGGAGUAGGCAGAGCAGAGGAGGGAGCAGCAUCUAGGAGGAGGAGGCAGAGCAAAGGAGGGAGCAGCAGCAGCACCAGAGCAACCUACACACAAAACAAACAAACAAACGUAGGAAUCAGAAGUGAGGAGAAGAAGAAAUGGCCGGCUGCCGACUGCCGGAAUUGCCGGAGAUGGCCGGCUGCCGACUCGCGUUUGCCAUGGACGUCUCCGCCACCGCGCCCUCAUUGCCUCGUCCCCAUCCAUCCAUUGGUGGGUGGGUGAAGGGCUACGGUGUCGGGCCUCAUCCGCCCAUGGGUCAGACGGACCUGAGGGAGGGAGAGCUAGGGAGCGAGGGAGGAAGGUCGCGGUGGUGAUGGGGUUGGGGGAGACGGUCNNNNNNNNNNNNNNNNNNNNNNNNNNNNNNNNNNNNNNNNNNNNNNNNNNNNNNNNNNNNNNNNNNNNNNNNNNNNNNNNNNNNNNNNNNNNNNNNNNNNNNNNNNNNNNNNNNNNNNNNNNNNNNNNNNNNNNNNNNNNNNNNNNNNNNNNNNNNNNNNNNNNNNNNNNNNNNNNNNNNNNNNNNNNNNNNNNNNNNNNNNNNNNNNNNNNNNNNNNNNNNNNNNNNNNNNNNNNNNNNNNNNNNNNNNNNNNNNNNNNNNNNNNNNNNNNNNNNNNNNNNNNNNNNNNNNNNNNNNNNNNNNNNNNNNNNNNNNNNNNNNNNNNNNNNNNNNNNNNNNNNNNNNNNNNNNNNNNNNNNNNNNNNNNNNNNNNNNNNNNNNNNNNNNNNNNNNNNNNNNNNNNNCUGCCGCGCGGUGCGCUGCGACGCGAGGGCGGCGGCCAUGGUCGGAGCCGCGGGGGGUGUGUGUCCGUGUCUCGGUGGCCGGUCGGAACUCGGGAAUGGGGAGGAGCCACCGCGGGGGGAGCAUGCGCGAGCAGGAGAGGAUGAGGGGGGAAGUGAGGCCGGCGGCGAGAUUGGAUCUGGGGAGGGGAUAGGGUUUGGGUGGUUGGAGGGGAUGAGGGGGGAGAAGGGGCGACGACGAUGGAUCUGGGGAGGGGAUAGGGUUUGGGUGGUUGGGCUGCGCGGGGGUGGGGUUCUUUUUCUUUCUUUCUAUUUUUUUCUUUAGAUAAAUGCGAUGGAUGGAUGGAUGCCAUGUCGUCGAUCCAUGGCACAAACAUUUCAACCAAUAAGAAGAAAGCUUAUGUAAUUGUAUUUUUCUAUUUGUUUCUCUUGUAUUUUUUGCAUGAGGGUGCAUUUUGAAAUGGCAUAAUUUGUUCAAAAUAUAUCAUACUUUGCAUCAGAGUGCAUCUUGGAAUGGCAAACAAUGUUGCCUAAGGAAUUCUUCAUUUUAUUUACACGGAAAAUUCAUUUUCCAUUUUUCGAGUGCCUAAAAUGAGGUUUUUUAUGAAGGAUCUACCAUAUAUUUGUUGUAAAAUUGUACCAAAUCAAUUUUUUAAAAUACUAGGACAUAUUUAAUGCACAAUUGACCAAAUGGUUGGGUGUAAAAAGUUUUGAUCCACCUCUCGUGAAAAAGACAAAUUCCCACCGAUUCAGUAGGAAGCGGGUCAAAUUUGAACUCUAGCUACCUCGUAGUUUGCUCUUUAUUUUUUCCAAAAAUAAUUUCAAGGUACAUAAGUAUCUAUUUUAUCACAGAAACACCAAAAAAAUUCAAGAUUCAACCACUAGCUAGGAACGGUCAUUCCCGUUGUUUUGACCGCAUUUUCAAAUGGGCAUAAAAAAUUUAAAAAAAAACAAAAAAUUGGAAAAACUUCGCAUUGUGUCAUUAUAUGUGACCAAGUUACCAGCAAAAAUUAUAAACUUGUAAUAUGGUGAUUAUUUUUAAAAACUGUUCUCACAAACGAGCUAUCAAGCAUGAAGAUGCAUGGCUUUCAACCCAAAUGCUCAAUCUUAUGGCUACAUUCAUGGAUAGUUUGUUCAAAUAAUCUCAUAUUGUGCACAAGGAUGCAUAUUGGAAUGACAAACAAUGUUGCCUAAGGGAGUUUUCAUUUUCUUUACAUGGAAAAUUCAUUUUCCAUUUUCCGAGUGCCCCAAAUGAGUUUGUUUUGUGAAGGACCUACCAUAUAUUUGUUGAAAAAUUGGACCUAAUCAAUUUUCUAAAAUACUAGGCCAUAUUUAAUGCACAAUUAACAAAAUGGUUGGGUGUCAAAAGUUUUGAUCCACCUCUGGUGAAAAAGACAAAUUUCCGCCGAUUCAGUAGGAAGCGGGUCAAAUUUGAACUACAGCUGCCUCAUAGUUUGAUCUUUAUUUUUUUCAAAAAUCAUUUUUAGGUACAUAAUUAUCUAUUUAAUCAUAGAAACACCAAAAGUUUUCCAAGAUUCAACCACUAGCUAGGAACGGUCAAGCCCGCCAUUUUGACCGCAUUUAGAAACGGGCAUAAAAAUUUCAAAAAAAUCAGAAAUUUGGAAAACCUUCGCAUUGUGUCAUUAUAUGUGACCAAGUUUUCAGAAAAAAUAAUAAACUUGUAAUACGGAAAUCGUUUUUAAAAAGUGUUCUCGGAAACGAGCUAUCAUGCGUGAAGAUUCAUGGCUUUCAAGCCAAAUGAUCAAUCUUAUGGCCACAUUCAGGGCAUAGUUUGUUCAAAUGAUCGCAUAUCAUGCACAAGGGUGCAUCUUGGAAUUCCAAACAAUGUUUCCUAAGGGAGUUUUCAUUUUCUUUGCACGGAAAAUACAUUUUCCACUUUCCGAGUGCCCGAAAAGAGUUUUUUUUGUGAAGAACCUACCAUAUAUUUGUUGUAAAAUUGGACCAAAUCAAUUUUAUAAAAUACUAGUCCAUAUUUAAUAUACGAUUGACCAAAUGGUUGGGUGUGAAAAGCUUUGAUCCACCUCUCAUGAAAAAGACAACUUUCCGCCGGUUCAGUUGAAAGCGGGUCAAAUUUGAACUGCAGUUACCUCAUAGUUUGCUCUUUAUUUUUUACAAAAAUCAUUUCUAGGUACAUAAGUAUCUAUUUAAUCAGAGAAACAUCAAAAGUUUUCCAAGAUUCAACCACUAGCUAGGAACGGUCAAGCCCGCCGUUUUGACCGCAUUUUGAAACGGGCAUAAAAAAUUCAAAAAAACCAAAAAAUUGGAAAACCUUUGCAUUGUGUAAUUAUAUGUGACCAAGUUUCCAGGAAAAAUAAUAAACUUUUAAUACGGUAAUUAUUUUAAAAAAGUGUUCUCGGAAAUGAGCUAUCAAGUGUGAAGAUUAACGGCUUUCAAGCCAAAUGAUCAAUCUUAUGGCCACAUUCAUGGCAUAGUUUGUUCAAAUGAUCUCAUAUUGUGCACAAGGGUGCAUCUUGGAAUUCCAAACAAUGUUGCCUAAGGGAGUUUUCAUUUUCUUUUCACAGAAAAUACAUUUUCCAUUUUUUGAGUGUCCGAAAUGACUUUUUUUGUGAAAGACCUACCAUAUAUUUGUUGCAAAAUUGGACCUAAUAAAUUUUAUAAAAUAUUAGGCCAUAUUUAAUGCACAACUGACAAAAUGGUUGGGUGUCAAAAGUUUUGAUCCACCUCUGGUGAAAAAGACAAAUUCCCGUUGAUUCAGGUGGAAGCAGGUCAAAUUUGAACUGCGGCUGCCUCAUAGUUUGCUCUUUAUUUUUUCCAAAAAUCAUUUCUAGGUAAAUAAGUAUCUAUUUAAUCAGAAAUACAUGGUUUGAUGGCGAGACAUCGAGGUUUGGAUGGUGGCUGAGGGCCCCAACUCUAGAGCGCGUAAGCUCGCAUGCCCGCAGCGUGGUCACCGCGUGACCGUGGCGUUGCCAUGUGUUCUGGGCGGCCUAGGCAUGUCUAGUGGGUUGGGCACUCCCUAGAUAGGUGCUAGGAAGAAAAUCACAACAUAAGAUUCUCACGAGGAGACUGAUCGAUGCUCAAACAUGAAUAAGCAGCCAAGUAUUUGAUUUGUGGUACGCGAAAUGCACAUGGCUAAUGGGCGUGAGUUUUGGCUGAGGAUGAUCAGUUACUAAGAAGACCGUCUUCACAAAUUUUCACCUCAAAAGGAGGAGCCUAGGUGGUACUUGUUUUGCAAAGUACCACAUUGGACAUAAAUACGAAUGUUGAAGCUGGGCUCCAAAUAAUGAAUGGAUUGAGCUGGCAUUUGGUGGAGGAUGGUUAUUUGGGCAUAGGGAAGCACUAUAGAAAAUGGAUACCAUUUGGACAUGCCAAAGUGGUACUUCCUUCACAAAGUGCUGCUCUAAACAAAAUAGGAAAAUGAAUAUUGUUGAGUUAUUUUUGAACUAGGCAAGGAAUGUUUUUGACAUAUUUGAUGAACAUAUGAUCCAAACAAUUUAUGAUAAUUUUUUGGGAAUUUUCGAAAUAACAGAAAUAUAGGUUGCUUCACAACCUAGGACAAAAAUUGACACAUGGACAUGACACAGGCAAAACUGAUGAGAUGGCGCCUAGUCAUCACAACCGACCAUAAUCUACAAAACUAUGACCAUCUAUAUUAGUCGUUAACAACUAGAAAUAAGGCAGCGGACCAGCACUAUUUGCUUUAUGACCAUUUCGUGUAAGGAAAUUACGACCUUUAUGAACAAAAUGGUCGUAAUGGUUUAGGGUUUGGAGCCCCCCGAACAGCUUUUGACCAAUUGGUCUCAAAUGGUCAUAGAUCUAUUACCAAUUCUUCCAGCAUCACUGACAGAAGGUCACUAGUUAACAUAUUUCUUGUAGUGUGGAUGCGGCGGUAGGAUCUUUCUUAUUGUAACAGACAUUCAAUACACAUAGUAGAGUGGCAUUGUCUGCAGUGUUGAUCCUCUGUCCAAUCAUUUCUAGGAGCUCCCUUUUGUGCAAUGGUGCAUCUCAUCUUGAGUUGUACUGUUUUUUUCUUAUUUAACAAAACACAAUAUGAUUUUGCCACGUGCAUCCCUCAAUCCUUGCCAUGUCUAUCCCUCGAUGCUCUUCCAGAUUUUUGCAAUGUGCAUCUACAAAAACAUGGCAAAUUUCUAAAUUUUUUAAUUAAUGGUAUAUGGCAAAUUUAAGAUAAGCUCCUUACUAUAUACUCCCUCCGUAAACUAAUAUAAGAGUGUUUAGAUUCAAUUCCGUGCCGACGGCCUGGAUCUGAUCACCCGCCCGCUGCAUCCCUUGCCGGCGUUGCGGUCCUACACUUAUAUAGUGGGGUGGAGGUGGUGCUGAUGCGUGAUUGGUCAUGCCGGCGCUAUCUGCCCGUCUGCGGCCGCGAUGAGCUAGGCCAUGGGGUGCAUCCACUCCACUUUGAAGGAGAGGCAACACCCUUCUUGCUACGAGGAUCCUGUCCACCUCGCUCUCUGGACCGUGUGUGACCUCGCUUGCAUCCUUUCCCCCGUUUUUCUAGGUAACCAAUUACAUGAACAUCCUUCCAUGAAUGCAGCUUCCGGUUCAUGUCAGAAAAAAAGGAAAAUGGAUCUAGCUUCUGUUAGUCUGCCAUCUUCUCCUCGAGAAUAUAAUGACUAAAUUUGUCAUGUCACCAUUUACAAAUUCAGAAAAAUGGUCAUGUUUGUUUAGAGAACGAACUCGUUAAUUUGUAGUUUUUUCAAUCAUGGCAACCCCCUAUGCACAUUGUAUAUCCUUUUUGCCAUGUUAUUCUAGAAAACAUGGCAAUUUUCUUAGCUUGUUUUUACUUUGUACAUGGCAAAAAUAAAGCAGAAUAAGUUUUUUGUGAAAACAUGGCAAUUUCUGUUAAGCAACAUGGAAAUUCUUGUUAAAACCACAUGGCAAGUCAUAAGGAAUUUUUUAUUAAGUAAAAUCAAAUGGCAAAAUUAGUUGUUCCAUGGCAAUUUUAUUUUUUCUUUUUCAUGAUGGCAAAUUUAUUUUUUGUACCAUGGCUUCUUCUCUAUCUUCUUUUCAUGAUGGCAAGUUUAUUUUAGUACCAUGGCAAAAUGUAUUAUUCGAUCGCGGAAAUUUCCAUGUUCGUAGAACACGGCAAAUUGUACUAUUCUGUCAUGGCAAAUUAUACUAUUCGAUCAUGGCAAUUUUCAACCCGCAUUUUACCAUGGUUAUUUUCAGUCUGUAGGCCUAAAGAACAUGGCAACUUUCCUUUUUGUAGCAUGGUUAAUUUAUUUUUUAUUACCAUGGCAAAUUUCAUUUUGCAUUUGCUAUUGCAAAUUUUUCUUUUUCUUACCCAUGGGAAAUUUACCUUUACUGCCAUGGCAAAAUUACAUAUCUACCAUGGCAAUUUUAUUUUCUCUAUCACGGAAAAUUUCAUUUUUUCCUUUUCUGUUAUUUUUUUAGCAUGAUGGCAUUUUUAUUUUACCACCAUGGCAAUUUUAUUUUUUGUAACGUGGCAAAUUAUUCUGUUGGACCAUGGCAAUUUUUUUCUUUUUCUUUACUUUUCAUGAUGGCAACUUUAUUUAGUUACGUCGCAAAGUUUUUCUUGUAACAUGGACGAUAAAAAUUGUCUACCAUCGCAUGCUCAUUUAUGUGCAUACAUCCUCCCUUUUUCAAUUUUUCGAUAAAUUUCUUUUUAAGUAAAUUAUUUUUGAAAUAAAACAUGGUGAUUUUUUCUCUAAUAACAAUAAAAAUUAUGUUUUCGUCUUUUUUUACUACGAUGGCGAUUUUAUUUGAUUACCAUGGCAGUUUUAUUUUUUAUGUAUUAUACCAUUGGACCAUGGCAAAUUAUUUUUCUUCUUAUUGUUCAUGAUGGCAACUUUAUUAAAUAAUCCUUUUCGGGAUGACCCGUCAUGAUGAAGUCCAGAGCGAAUGUCAAUUGGUUAAUGAGAAGAAAAACAAAUUUGGGCUUUAAUUUGUCUCAGAAAAAAAACUAGUUUUGUUCGCGCCGGAACUAAUUUUGUUUCCCACGAUAAUAUUCGAACGACACUAUUUUCCCUCGUACCGAACUUCAGUUCGGACCGCUCGCGUCCCGGCCCGAACGUUCGGCAUAUAUCGAGGUCCUUUAUUAUACAUUCAAAUUCUUUUUUCUAUUUUUGAGCAUCAGUACAGACACAAGCGCUCAUAUACACGCGCAUACACUCACCUCUAUGAACGCACUCACUCACACCCUACCCUCCGAGAGACUGAGCCGGCAUACCAUCUUGAGAAUUACGAAGUCACCGUAGGCGCCUCGUCGUCGACGCGAACGUCUCCUCCGAUUGAAAGCACAUCGCCGGAAAUCCUGAAAUAAAUUCAGAAAUAAUGCGAGCACCGGUAUUUGAAUCCUGAUGGGUUGGGGAUACCACUGUCCACCUAACCAUCUCAACCACAGGUUGGUUCGCAUUAUACAUUCAUAUUCAUUUAAUGUGGUGUAACUACUAAAAGAGUUUCACUUUGAUGCAUGAGCAACAAAUGGAGACGUUUGAAACCAUAAACACAAAUUUAUAGCGCCAGCAUCUAAUUACUCCUUAUACUCUUGUUAUAUAUAGUUCGAGUCGGACAGAGAUACAAAUCAGACGACCAUGGCCCCUCUCCAAGCUCUCUCCUCCGUCCUCGUCCUCCUGCUCCUCACACAGCAAGCGCGCACGGCGAGGGCGAGCACGCUCGUCGGCACCGGCGGGGCGCAGGACUACGACUUCUGCGUGAAGACGCUGGGGGCGGACCCGGCGAGCGCGAUGGCCAACGAUCUCGGCCUGGUGGUCAUCACGGUGAAGAUCGCCAUGGCGACCACAUCGCCCGGCUGCAGGCCUCCGAGACGUCGCCCCGGCGGCGGCUGGUCCUGGACGAGUGCGCCAAUGACUACGCCUUGACAGUGCGCUGGCUGGGGCGCGCCUCCAUGGACUUGGCCGCGGGCGGGGACGAGGACCGGCUGACGGAGGCGGCCACCCUGCUGGAGCACGUUCGUGGCACGCCGGCGCGCUGCGACAAGGCGUUCGUCCUCUGGGCCGGCGAGAGGACGCCGCUGACCGAAGCGGACCACGAGCUCAACGGGGUGACCGUGCUGGCAUUGAAAAUCUUGCGCCAUUGCUUAAAUGACGGGGCAAAAUGAGCAAGUAGCACGAGGCCUUCUUCUACCUCCGGAAGAAAAUGAUCAUCUUUUCCGGCAGUGAAAUAUGUGAUGUGCAACAAUAAAAUGAGUAAUAAUAAUAACUUGCAAAAUUUCCAAUGGAGAUUGUAGAACGUUGUGGUCUUAUCAGUAUUUACUUAUUUCAAAAAUGACGCUGAAGAUUUUCUCUGAUUCACAAGAGUUCAUUCAGAUCAGGCGAGGAAGGUUACCAUUCGAUUUUCACUGACAAUUAGGUUUUUGAUUGAGGGUUCUGUGAUUCUCCAGCUACAUGUUUUGUGUACGUGGUACCUUUCUCUGACUCUUGUUUUCAUUAUGUAACCUCUCUGGCCUUUACAAAAAAGACGUUCUCAUAACUAAAUGUCUUUCUUGUGAUUCUGAUAGGCCCACCUACGACACAUGCAUGUACACCAUGUUUCUCUACUGUAAUUUAAUGUUAUAUUUAGAUGUUACAAAAAAAUUAUUUACAUGUUACACAAAAGAGUUCAGGGUUCACUUAGAGGAAUAAUUGCUUUGCACGUAUACAUUUACUGAAAGGGACUGAUGUGCUGAACUUUCGAGAAUUCCGAUUGGUCGUUAAUAUAACCUUUUCUCCUUUUGUUGAAAUGUCCGAAGGAAUUUCCGUUAUUUUAGGUUUUCAACUUGAGGAGUUUCAUGCUUUUUGAGUGGAGCCAUCCACAUAUAUAAUAUGAUUCUCAAAAAUUCAUUAUAAGUUAAAAUCAUUAUAUACAUAUUGUUCCCUGUAUUUUUUAUGUGAGUAGGGCCAGCUUAUUGCAUGAUUAAUAAGACAUUUUUGUGUAGUUCACCGUUUAUUUUAUUAUGUCUGUAUAAACAAGAUUUUUUGGUUAUUUGGCCUCACAAAUGUUCUUUCUUGAACAGCAACCAGCAGAGAACAAGAACAACAAUAGUGAUGAGAAAGGAAGGAGCCGAGUAUGCCACACACUGAUACGAUGGUUUCCCCUGUGUUCUCUAUAUAUGGUAAUCCACUUCUUCACUGACUCAAAUUGUUUACUGGUGAGCUAACAAGAUGGUUUUGUGUCUUCCCUCUUUCUUUGUAAGUGAAUGACUUCAGGUUCUUGGGCAUUAUUCAACUGCCAUACUUGUGGGAAAUAAAUGUACUAAACUUGUGAGAUGGAUUGAUUAAUGGGCAGUGGAAUGGGAUUAGGGCUCGCAAUUUACAAACAAUGAGUUGCAACUAUAAAGAAUGGAUUGAUUAAUGGGCAGCAGAAUGGGAUUAGGGCUCUGCAUAGUUAUGAGUUGCAACUACAAAGAAUGGAUUGAUUAAUGGGUAGUAGAAUGGGAUUAGGGAUCUGCACAGUUAUGAGUUGCAACUACAAAGAAUGGAUUGAUUAAUGGGUAGUGAAAUGGGAUUAGGGAUCGCAAUUUACAAACAACUUAAAAACGCUAAAAGUAACAAAAAUAUGAGUCGCACUUGGGUACGUGGUUGAAAAGAAAAUGAAUCAUUGAAAUGCUUCUGCCUCCCAAAGAGGCGUACCAGCAUUUUCAUCGAAGGGAAAAUGUUUCAGAAUCUGGGGGUUUCAUCACCUGCUAUUGUAACUGUUGUGUGUAAACAUGAGAGGUGCGCCUCUCAUUACAUUCCAUAUUUGCUUGAAUGCAAAUGUUUUAACUAUUAUGUGUAUAUAAAUGAGAGACGCAUUACCUCCAUAUUUGUUGGCAGGUCAAUGUUUCUAGAUAGGGUGCUAUUCAAUUCUAAUUGAUUUGCUCCAGGUAAACCCACGGGUCCUCGUCCUAGGGUUUCCGCCGCCGCCAUGGGCGACUCCCUUGCUUCCGCCCUAGUCUAAGCCGUUUCUCACCAUGAGUCUACGUGGUAAUUCGUCCUCCGGAUUACGGAGGGAGUCUAAGCCGUCUACGUUUCGUCUCGGAAGGAAGGAGGACCCGUCUGGGGCCGUGAUCGGCAAGGUAACUGUGGCGGGCGGGACUCUCAUAAGUCCUCCAGUCCGCCGCAAUCUUCCUGGCAAGAUCGCGCCUUUCAAUAACCCGCUCUUCGACCCUAAAGCUACGUCUACAGCAACCGCGCGCUCUCCGUCGAUGUCGUCCGCUGGCGAUGGGGGUGAAAAAGGGGGGGCCGAUGAGGCCCCUACCCACCCGAAGUCGUUCGGUGGCGAUGCGAUGGUGCCCGCGCGGGGUUCCGGAGGUCAGAUCGAGCCGGCGGAAGAGUUUGAUCACACCAGCAACUGGGAUGAGAGGGAAAGUGUGGGGCUGGAUGGUCCGGAGGUCAGUAUUGGCGGCGAGGUGAACCUAGAUGAUGAUGUUGUUGUGGAAGAGGAACCUGCAGUGGAGCCGGUGGCGGCGCCGCCGCGAUGGAGAUUGCUCGGCCGUUACGUCAGCAUCGGGCGGCCAAACGUCGACGACAUGACGGAACACUUCAGCGAGGUCUGGAAGGUACGAACAAGCCUCAAUAUUGCAAGGAUUAAGAACAAUUGGUAUGCGGUGACCUUCUUCUCCGAGGGAUAUUACAACUUUGUAGCAAGAGGAGGAUCUUGGAUUUUCAAGGGAAACGCACUCAUUGUUGGCCCGUUCAAGGAAGGAGAGCAGCCUUCUGAGGCUGUACUGAAUUCAGUCCCGAUCUGGGUCCGUGUAUACAACGUUCCGUGGGGAAAGCAGACUAUUGCAUAUGGCGAAUUUCUUGCAGGCUUGUUGGGUACCGUCAUGGAGGUGGAUGCUGAGGCUGAUGGGAGCAGGGUUCGCGAGUUCUUGCGUAUACGUGUGGACCUGCCACUUGGCCGCCGGCUCCAGACCAAAAUUACCAUCGGCAAGGACCCGGCGAAACAAGUUAUCUACCCACUCCGUUACAAGAGGGUGCCCCACUACUGCUUCUGGUGUGGAUUCAUAGGCCACGAUGGCAACCAUUGCGAGAAGAAAAGGUUGGGUGUUCCGACCCGAGCAUAUGAUGAAGGGUUGAGGUGCUCUCCGUACAGAAAGUUUGAGAAUAGAUCAGGCGUUUGUGGCACCUGGAACCCAGCCUGCAGCAAGACGGGGGCUGAACUUUGCUAGUAAUGCUCCCUCUGAGGUUCUUGGAAAGCCAAGAGAGAGGCGUAGAGGGAAGGGAAGUCAAGAGCAGCAGCAAACACCAGAGAUACCAGUACGGGUUGAUGCUCACGACGGUUUUGGCGAACACAGCAGCUCUGACGGACACAACAUGGACAUGGACAUUUCUGAUCGUGUUUUAGCUAUGCGUGUACACUUGGCUGGGCAGAGAGCUGAGGCCAGCAGAGUCCGUACGGUGCGGGCAUCAUCUGAACCUCCAGAGUUCGUCUUCCUUGGAGGUAGAAUACCUGCGCCCCUGCCACUUUCAGUACGCCCACCUGGGAGUGAGCCGAGCCACAGCAGCAACCUUGGGAGCAAGGAUAUGAUCCCGGCCAUGCGUAACCUUCACGACACCUCGGAUUUUUCAUCUGCUGAAUCCGAUCAAUACAUGCAAGAGGUUGAUUCUGUUCUGGGGAAGAGAUUUUCACGUGGGCAAGCGUCCGACGACCUGAAUCCCAACCAGGGAGCUAUGGUGGUGCAUGCAAAGAGGGGUGUUGUCAACAAGCAGAAACGAGGGAAGAUUCAGCAGAGUGGCAAAGGCAAGAACCAAGAUGAGGAGAAGAUGUACUCCGACAGCAUGGAUGGAGUGGAGGCAACCGGCCUUGGGGCCGCCGGUAAACUAACGGGGUCGGGUGCGCCGCCCCGUCAGGAGCAAUGAAUUGGCUAAGUUGGAACUGCCGGGGGGCGGGGAAUCCCUCGACAGUUCAUGAUCUCGCGUCUCUUGUUAUGACGCAAUCCCCAAGUCUUGUUUUCUUGUGUGAGACUAGGCAAAAUAAAAAUAAGAUGUAUCAUUUGCGUAAUAGGUUAGGGCUUUCUGGUUUUGAAGGAGUCAGUAGUAAUGGUUGUAGUGGCGGCCUAGCACUAUUUUGGCAUGAGUCUAUGUAUGUCGAUGUGCAAGAAGCUAAUGAAAGAUUGAUUGACGUGUAUUUGCGUGUGUCCCCGGACAAGCCAUUAUGGAGAGCUACAUUUGUUUUUGGCGAACCGAGAGUAGAAAAUAGACACAUGAUGUGGGAUAAGCUCAAAGGUCUGCAUGCUCAGAGCGCUCUGCAUGGGUGAUUAUCGGUGACUUCAAUGAGGCUAUGUGGGAUUUUGAGCAUCAAUCGGAAACUCCGAGACCUGCUGGUCUAAUGAUUAAUUUUCAGGAUGCACUUGAAGCUUGUGGACUCACUGAUCUUGGUUUUUCAGGGCACCCCUUCGCAUAUGAUAAUAGGCGGAGUGGCCAGGCGAACGUCCAAGUUUGGCUGGAUAGAGCGGUGGCGUCCAAUGACUGGAGAGACAUGUUUAUGCAAGCUUCGGUGGCACACCUUGAGUCGCCGCGUCGGACCAUAGUCCGCUGCUCCUCAAGUUCUCGCUGGAACAGGACAGGCGGCCUAACAGCAGCCGCCGGUACGAGUUGAUGUGGGAGAGAUCGCCGGGAUCGUAACACCAAGAUGUUCCACAGGAAGGCAGUUUGGCGAGCGAGAAAGAAUAAAAUCCGAGGGCUGGCGGAUGAGGCGGGUGUUAUGCACACCGAUCAGGCCAACAUGCUACAGAUGGUAAAAUGUUAUUUUCAUAAUUUAUUCACAGCUGACCCAAUGUUGGAUCCACAUGAUGUGUUACAGCUUAUACAGCCCAAGGUGUCCAUGGAGAUGAACAACAAUCUAUGCAAGGACUUUACCGAUGAGGAGAUUUCUAAUGCAAUGUUCCAGAUAGGGCCCCUAAAGGCGCCGGGGCCGGAUGGGUUCCCCGCGAGAUUCUUCCAACGGCAUUGGGCGGUGAUGAAGGAUGACAUAAUUAAUGCGGUUAAAUUAUUUUUUGCCUCUGGAGUCAUGCCGGACGGGAUAAACAGCACGGUCAUUGUUUUGAUCCCCAAGAUUGACUCGCCGUCCCGACUCACUGAUUUUCGGCCUAUCAGUCUCUAUAAUGUCAUAUAUAAGGUGAUAGCCAAAUGCCUGGUCAAUAGGUUGAGGCCUAUUUUGGAUGAGUUGGUGUCCCCAGAGCAGAGCGCCUUUGUACCGGGCAGAUUAAUUACAGAUAAUGCAUUAAUCGCUUUUGAGUGUUUUCAUGCGAUCAAACAGGAGAAGGACCCGGAGCAGAGCUUUUGUGCCUAUAAACUGGACCUGUCCAAGGCUUACGAUCGGGUAGAUUGGGUUUUCUUGGAGCGAGUGAUGCAACAGAUGGGUUUCUCUCACCGAUGGGUGGAUUGGAUAAUGAGGUGUGUCACCUCGGUGAGGUAUUGUGUGAAAGUCAAUGGAGCCCUCUCGGAUUCAUUCGCACCGUCUCGUGGACUACGGCAGGGAGACCCCCUCUCACCUUUCCUUUUCCUUUUUGUUGCUGACGGUCUUGAUACUAUUCUAAAACAGGAGAUUGCAGGCAACCGCCUCACUCCACUCCGGGUGUGCGCCCAAGCUCCAGGCAUCUCACACCUCCUGUUCGCGGAUGACACCUUAUUGUUCUUUCGUGCUAAUGGAGAGGAGGCUGCCCAAGUCAAAGAAGUUAUUAGUACAUAUGCUAGAGCUACAUGCCAGCUCAUAAAUCCUGCCAAGUGCUCUAUAAUGUUCAGCCCCAAAUGUUCACAAGCUAACAAGCAGGAGGUCAUGCACAACUUGGACGUGGUGAAUAUGAGCUUUGAGGAAAAAUAUCUUGGCUUUCCAACGCCAAGUGGCCGCUUUUCAAAAGGGAAACUACACAAUCUUCAGCAACACCUGACAAAGAGAAUUAUACAGUGGGGAGAAUUGAUGUCCCAAGCAGGACGUGAGGUUCUUAUUAAGGCGGUGGCGCAGGCCCUACCCACCUUCCUAAUGAGUUUGUUUAAAUUUCCUAGAAGCACCUGCGAUGAUUUGGGGCGGAUGAUUCGUAGCUACUGGUGGGGCACGUACAGAGGCAAGAGGAAAACCCACUGGAAAUCUUGGGACUCGAUGCUAAGGCCCAAAUCGGCUGGGGGUAUGGGAUUCAAGGACUUCAGACUCUUCAACCAAGCAAUGUUAGCUCGGCAAGCAUGGCGUAUUUUGGUCAACCCGGAAUGUCUUUGUACGCGCGUCUUGAAGGCAAGGUAUUUCCCUAAUGGACGAUUAGAAGAUACUGUUUUCACUAGCAACGCGUCGCAAACUUGGCAGGCCAUUGUGCAUGGGUUGGAAUUGCUGAAGAAAGGCUUAGUCUGGCGCAUCGGUAACGGGCAGUCGGUCCGAAUUUGGCGGGACUCCUGGAUACCACACCCUAUUGGUCGGCCACCAAUUACCCAACAGGGAAGGUGCUGUCUCCGCCGAGUCUCAAAGCUACUAGACGAGCAUGGUGCAUGGCGCGGAACCCUACUUCAACAGUACUUUUUGCCCGUUGAUGUUCAGGAGAUACUAAAGAUUAAAGCGUCCCCUCGGCUGGGGGCAGAUUUCCUUGCAUGGGGUGUAGAACGUACUGGUAUCUUCACCGUACGUAGCGCGUACCGGCUGGCGCUUGAGGACAAGCUUUGUCCCUCUUCAGUCGCAGCGAGCAGGGCACCGGACGGGCGACGUGCCGUCUGGGCAUUAUUAUGGAGGUGCCCUGCUCCUCCUAAGGUGCGUGUGUUUGCAUCGCGUUUGGCUACUAACUCCCUUGCCACAUGGUCUAAUAAAUUCAGUCGACACAUGGAGGUUACUGAUAUAUGCCCAUUAUGUGGUCUCGAGCGCGAGGACACUUUUCAUGUGUUUUGCAGGUGCCCUCGGGCGGUGCAUUUGUGGCGGACUAUGGCGGAGGUGUGGAGUAUACCGGACAUCGAGUCAGUCCGUAACACCGGCCCAAAGUGGCUCCUGAACCUAAUUGCAGAAAGCAAUGAAGGGGACCGGCUGCGCCUGAUUAUGCUGUUGUGGAGAUGUUGGCAUGUGUGCAACGAGAUCACUCAUGACAAACUGGCGCCGCCUGUGGAGGUAUCCCGUCGCUUUUUGCAGAGCUACGUAACCUCACUGCUCGGGAUCCAGCAGUAUCCACAGGGAGAUUGGGACAAAGGGAAGAUGACCAUCCAACAAGAAGGUGCAGAACAACCUAUAUCACAUGUGGGAGGUGUGCCACGAAUAGUCCACAAAUGGAGUCCCCCACCCGCCAACUGGACGAAGCUGAAUGUCGAUGGCUCCUUUUCCCAUGAUGAUGGGAGGGCCGGGACGGGAAUGGUGCUUCAUGACCAGGAAGGGGCCAUUAUUUUCUCCGUGUGUCGCUCGCUAUGGUCUUGCCCGGACCCUAUACAUGCUGAGCUGGCUGGGUGCAUGGAGGGCAUAGCUUUGGCCCUCCAAUGGACGGAGUUGCCGUUUAUCGCCGAGUGCGAUAGUCUGCAGGCAGUGCAACUGAUAAAUGCCUCAGGAGAAGACCGCUCGCAGUAUGCCAUGGUGGUCUCGGAAGUGAAGCUUCUUAUGAGUGAAAGGGAGUGUCAUGUUAUUCAUAUUUCUCGAGAGCAGAAUAAUGUAAGCCAUGCGUUGGCGAACUUUGGAAGGACGGAGGACCGUACUGUGGUCUGGCUCCGCUCCGGCCCGGACAAUAUCCCUAGCUUGUGUAGGGAGGACCUUCUUGGCUCUUGAGUAAUACAAAUCCCUUUUACCCCGCAAAAAAAAUUCUAACUGAUUUAACAUAAACAUUUUGGCUAAAAAAAGGUUAAUCAAUUGACAAUAUUGCAACAUAUGCAUGAGGAUCCCUCGGAAAAAAAACAUAUGCAUGAGGAUAAUAUUUAUGCUCCGUUGAAACGCACGAGCAAUUAUCUAGGAUGAUGGGACUUAACAAAUUGUCAAAUUUGGAGGGAACACCAGAUGGAUUUGGAUUGGGCUGACAACAAGUGAAGUAAUAAUAAUAGAGUGGCCAAAGAGCUGAAGUUGAGGGGCUCCUGAUAGAUCCAUUUGUUGGCCCGUGGCAAUGCACGGGCGUUCUACUAGUUUUCAUUAAUAGAUCCAUUUCCCCUCAAUCUCUGGCAAAUUCUUUGGAGCGUGCUACGCGUCGGCCGGCGGAUCUUUUUAAAAGAUCCAUCAGGUUCUGAGCCUUCGAAUCUGACAUGAUCUCGCGGCCGAGCGUCUUCCUCACUUUUGUAACAGAAAUCGUGUUGUGAGAACCCUUUUGCAACAUAGGUCUUGUUGCAUAAACGUCGUCGCGUAGCACAACACUAGCACACUUGUGGGAACUGUUGUUAUGGCGGCACCAGCGGUUGUGACUGAGCUCGAGGAGGCAACAACCAUGCAUGCUUGUCCACGCCGGUGCUCCCUCGGGAGGGCGGGGCGACGGCGGACGCGGCUCCCCGUGGAUGCGGAUGCCGGUGCUUUCCCGAUACGGCGGACGCGACUUGAGGACUUGGGGCGGCUACAAAUGGAACCUGCGUCCUGCGGGGAUGAGAGUUCGGAGAAAGAGAGGAAAAUGGCUGGGAGAAGACAACGGAGGUUUUUGAAGAUAAGGUAAGGGGUACAUGGCUGGUUGGGGCUAGUAAAAACAUAUGUGAACGUGUGCGGUAUGAUCAGAUGGGAUCCAAUGUUGUAUGGGCGGCGGAACAUUGUCCGUGAUCGGUGAAUGAUUUCUCUAAACUUUUUUACCAUUUGUUAAUUACAUUUGUGAAAAUUUUAUUGUGGAAGUGGGUACGUCUCAGUCGACUGAGACUUAACCUCAGUCAAGUGAUAUAGUACAAGGAGAAAAAGAAAAGAAAAAUGAAGAAUCCUUUUUGCAUGGAUCUCCAUGCAAGAUCAAAGGAAUAUAGCAUCGAUUGAGACAAAACAAAGUCUCAGUCGACGGAGUACUCAGCAAAACUAUUUUAUUAUCGGAAUCAAUUACUUCCGAACGACCAGUAUUUUAAGCUUUUGGGCCGAACGUGCUUUUCAUCAUUGGAUUCAGGUAUGAAUCUUAGAACAGAGGAAAUUAGCCAGGUCAGCUUUUUAUUUCGUUCGAGGAAAUUGACUACCGCCGCGAACGCUCCCCACCACCACUCCUGUGUUUCCCUGUCCCAGCCACUCCUUACCCAUUUCUCUGCCACACAGUCGCCCCAUCUACCCCCCACCAACACCGUCCCAGCCCUUUCGUUUACUCUGGCGACGGUGUUGGCGGCGAUCCCAGCGUGGUUCAGUGGCGCUAUGUGGAGAUGGAGGCUCACGCGCAUCAUGCGGUUGGUGGAUCUCGGCUGCUGCGGCCAUGUCGAUGGCGGCGGAGGCGAGGGACCCACGCUUGCUGGUGUCGUGAUUUCAGUGGGCCGGAGCUGCUGGAGGUGAGGACCGGAGGUGCUCCUUUCCGCGCGUUGUCUCCGUCAGCCACCUCGACCCCUGGUGGAGGGGCGGUCCCAAGUCUCACCGACGGUUUCUUGGUGCGUGGCCCCGUGUCGACGGCGGCAGAUAGACCGGCUGUAUGCCUGGUCGUGCUGCUGUUUUGGAGGGUAGGAGAUCAGGCUCGCGGGUGCCCGCGCCCGAUCUGAAGCCGGGAGGGAGACGCUCUUGUGUAGUUGUGUGUGCCCGUCGUCGCUGCAGCAGCUCCGCUCGUGCACGCCAGCAAGAGCUCCGCCGCCAGCUCCUGUCGCUUUGGGUCUUACAUCAUCUGCCGCAUCCCCAAACAUCAUCGACUGUGGCCCUAUCCGGUGAGCACCAAUCUCUCUUUUUUGCUUGCAACUAGAUGUUGCUUUGUGGCACCACAAGAAAUAUGUCAACUUGUGACCCUCGCUAUUGGGCAUUGAAAGGUCAUUGUUUUCAUUUGCGACCUUUUUGUGACCAAAAACAGAAGGUCAAAAGCUGGCGGUCGUAAACUGAAAUUAGUGACCUUCUUUGUGAUAUGUAAAAGGUUGUUGGUUCCAUGACCAAAUUUUUGGUCACUAGCAACCUCCCCAUGCCACGUAGGCAUCCAGCGUGGCAAGCUGGUCUGACACAAGAUUCAGCCCGGUCCAAUUCGGUUUUCUACAUGGGCCUAGCCCAACAAUUCGGCCUUUUUACUGUAUAUUUUCUCUAUUAAUUUUCUCUAGCUAUAUGGGCCUAGCCCAACAAUUUGGCCUUUUUAUUUUCUAGGCAUGGCCUUUUGCGGUCCAUUUCAUUUUUAUUUUCGAGGGUUUUUUGUGGUCCAGUUUUUAGAUGGGUCCCAAUUGUCAGAUUUUUCCUGGCAGUAGAUCCACAUCGCUUUUUAAGCAGUAUAUAUAUAUAAAACAGAAAGAAGAAAAGAAUAUGAAAAUCUUCAAAUAACAACUAAAAUAGGUUUAUUACAAUAUAUUCUAUGCAGAACAGAACAUGUGAAACUCCAUACACUCGUUCACAUCACAACAACCAGUUUAACCUACAAAUAUUGCAUGCCCAGGAACUUAAAACUUCACGUACAUAACCAUACGAUAUUCCACACAAUCACAAAUAUUGUGAUUGAAAAAUAAAACACUCUGCCAAGUUAAAGCUAGCUAUUCUUGGAUACCACGGAACAUGCUCUUCAACAUAGGAAGAAGUCAUCAACGGUGUUCUAUCAACAACACAAGCUCCAUUCACCUACAAGAACAGAAUGGAAUAUCAAGUACUUGGAUCGUUCAAGCAGAUUACAACCAACAUAUAUAUAUAUGUAGAAGUACAUCAGGAAAUAUGAUGGAGCAAUCGGACAACAAAUACAUUAAGUAAACAGCCCAACCGAUGAGUGAUGACGACAAGCAAAGAGUAUAAACCCAGGUUUGGACAUAAAUAGUGUCAACUCAAGCAGAACAUAAUAAGGCAGUAAACUCAAGCAGAACAUAAUUAAGCACGAUGAAAGGGACCAUCCAAUUAAAUUCCAUUCCCAUCUUCUUCAGUAAGGACAGGCAAAACAUCCCAGCAUAUCUCAAGUCGAUGAAUUAUUCUAGCAAUAACCAAAUUAGAAACAUCCCUUGUUGUUCCAUUUAACCAUACUACAAGACUGUAGAAGAAUCACCCUUGGUGAAUCAAAUCAUAGCAAAUCGAGCAACAGAUACAAGAGGCACAUCAGGCCUAGCCAUUUUUGUUUCAGUAAUUUAGAAAGAGGGGCGAUGGGGCACGGAACCUUGAGGCCCUGUUACGGGGUUGUGUUUGAUGAAGGUUGCCCUUUGGGGCGGCAGCUGCAGCUCCGCCAGAUGCAGCAGCAGCUCCUCCUACCGGCACGACGGCGGUGACAGCACAAAUGGUCACCUAUGUGACAUUUCAGAUCAUCAUUACAGAAUUUAAUUUAUUUAUUCAAGACGCAAGCAGCAAAGAUAGUGUCCACCUUCGCAUAUAGAACCGAGCAUAGAUUUACAGCACAUCAAUGAUUCAAGUAGUUCAAGACUUAAUUACUUUUUCAACAUCAGGGUAAGAGAUAUGGAACAAAAAUGCACAAAUGGUGCCUAUUGAGUGAGAGCAAGAAUAAUAAAGGGGCACAGCUGUGUGAAACUGUUAUCAGCAUUGUUUCAAAGUUUACUGUGGCAUAUUUUUCAUGAUCAGUAUGACUUCUUAUAAAUAAUAACCAAUAGUACUGCCGCCAGAUCCUUACACAUGUAUAAUGGCAUGAAUAGAGCAAUAGAGCAAUGCCCAAUCCUUACACAUGUAUAAUGGCGUGAAUAUGCAAGUUAGACCUAGAUGUUACUAACAAGUGUUAUUUGCAUAAUUAAUGAAUAAGUGUGGUAUUUCUGACUAGCCAGAAUCAAUCUUUGUGCAUACAUCUGGCCAUGUUGUUCCUUGCCAAAUAAGCUCCCAAAAGUAGUAUUAAUAAAAUUGAAACAGAAUAACAUUUACAGGACUACAUGAACCACAACAAGAAAUUUUCUGUUGCGAGUAAGCUACUUGCCUUUGUCCAUUUGCUCCCACCAAGUCAAUCUAUUAUACAUCCCUUGAUCAUCAGCGAAUGGAGUUCCCUUCUUCCAGUGGAAGAAGUUGUAUGUAAUCUGAAAUGAAGAUUCAGUUAGGAAAGCAAUGACAAUAGAGAAAUAAUUUCUAGAUAGUAUGUUUCAAGCUAUAAUCUUAUGAGAAAAAUAGCAAUAAUUUGUACUUCCAGAAUUGAGGUUGGGCCAACUAGAACUACAGUAUUUACUGCCAGAAUGAUUUCAUGAAUUUUGCCACUACAUGAUUAUAUUUAAAGUAGCAAAAGAAUUAUUAAAUGCAGGCUAUUUAUUUGGCUAUUAUGAAACAGUAAACCUUCAAACUAGAAUACACUUUAUUAGUUGGCAGGAUUGGCGAAUGUGUCGUAGCAAUCUAAGAAACAGAAGUGCAUUUCUAUGUGGUAAAAUGAUGUGCCUAGUUGCUGAAAAAUGAUGUCUAUUUAUGUUGACAGAAUGCUUUUUAGGAGUUGGCAUCCAGUUCCUAUUGAGCUAUACAAGGAGGCUAGAAUUGAGCAUUGUCGUGCAACUAGGGACUUGAGUAGCUACGGCUGCUAUGUGCAACAUGUGCUCAUCAACAACAAAAAUUCCCACACUCAUCAAUUAGUAGAAAUGAAACUGAUAGUAGUAUAGUAGGUGUGGUCUGGUCCUAGCAGCAAAAAAACUUGUCACUUAUGCAUCAGAGAGAGGGGGACUACCAAAUUGAGUUGCUCUUUCAUCCAUGGUGGCGUCCCUGCAUCCAUGUAGCUGCUGCUGCUGCUGACCUUGAAGAUGCAGCUCGUCGUUCUGCUGUUGUACCAAACGAACCUUGUCGCUGCUGCACGCAUAAUAACAAAUAAGAAGUGGUUUGUCAGAUCAAACCAGAACCUUCCAUGAGAGAGAGAGAGAGGGAGAGGGAGGGAGGGAGAUUUCAAACCUUCCAUGGGCAGUAGCUAGGAGGAGUAGGCAGAGCAGAGGAGGGAGCAGCAUCUAGGAGGAGGAGGCAGAGCAAAGGAGGGAGCAGCAGCAGCACCAGAGCAACCUGCACACACAAAACAAACAAACAAACGCAGGAAUCAGAAGUGAGGAGAAGAAGAAAUGGCCGACUGCCGACUGCUGGAAUUGCCGGAGAUGGCCGGCUGUCGACUCGCGUUUGCCAUGGACGUCUCCGCCACCGUGCCCUCAUCGCCCCGUCCCCAUCCAUCCAUUGGUGGGUGGGUGAAGGUCUACAGUGUCGGGCCUCAUCCGCCCAUGGGUCGGACGGACCUGAGGGAGGGAGAGCUAGGGAGCGAGGGAGGGAUGUCGCGGUGGUGAUGGGGUUGGGGGAGACGGUCACCGGUGGGGUUGGGGGUGGGUGUCGGCACCNNNNNNNNNNNNNNNNNNNNNNNNNNNNNNNNNNNNNNNNNNNNNNNNNNNNNNNNNNNNNNNNNNNNNNNNNNNNNNNNNNNNNNNNNNNNNNNNNNNNNNNNNNNNNNNNNNNNNNNNNNNNNNNNNNNNNNNNNNNNNNNNNNNNNNNNNNNNNNNNNNNNNNNNNNNNNNNNNNNNNNNNNNNNNNNNNNNNNNNNNNNNNNNNNNNNNNNNNNNNNNNNNNNNNNNNNNNAAUGAGGAGGAGCCACCGCGGGGGAAGCGUGCGCGAGCAGGAGAGGAUGAGGGGGGAGAGUGAGGCUGGCGGCGAGAUUGGAUCUGGGGAGGGGAUAGGGUUUGGGUGGUUAGAGGGGAUGAGGGGGGAGAAGGGGGCGGCGACGAUGGAUCCGGGGAGGGGAUAGGGUUUGGGUGGUUGGGCUGCCCGGGGGUGGGGUUCUUUUUCUUUCUUUCUAUUUUUUUCUUUAGAUAAAUGCGAUGGAUGGAUGGAUGCCAUGUCGUCGAUCCAUGGCACAAACAUUUCAACCAAUAAGAACAAAGCUUAUGUAAUUGUAUGAACAGCCUUCCAUGAAUGCAGCUUCCUCUUCAUGUCAGAAAAAAAGGAAAAUGGAUCUAGCUUCUGUUAGUUUGCCAUCUUCUCCUCGAGAAUAUAAUGACUAAAUUUGUCAUGUCACCAUUUACAAAUUCAGAAAAAUGUUCAUGUUUUUUUAGAGAACGAACUCGUUAAUUUGUAGUUUUUUCAAUCAUGGCAACCCCCUAUGCACAUUGUAUAUCCUUUUUGCCAUGUUAUUCUAGAAAACAUGGCAAUUUUCUUAGCUUGUUUUUACUUUGUACAUGGCAAAAAUAAAGCAGAAUAAGUUUUUUGUGAAAACAUGGCAAUUUCUGUUAAGCAACAUGGAAAUUCUUGUUAAAACCACAUGGCAAGUCAUAAGGAAUUUUUUAUUAAGUAAAAUCAAAUGGCAAAAUUAGUUGUUCCAUGGCAAUUUUCUUUUUUCUUUUUCAUGAUGGCAAAUUUAAUUUUUGUACCAUGGCUUCUUCUCUAUCUUCUUUUCAUGAUGGCAAGUUUAUUUUAGUACCAUGGAAAAAUGUAUUAUUCAUUCGCGGAAAUUUCCAUGUUCGUAGAACAUGGCAAAUUGUACUAUUCUGUCAUGGCAAAUUAUACUAUUCGAUCAUGGCAAUUUUCAACCCGCAUUUUACCAUGGUUAUUUUCAGUCUGUAGGCCUAAAGAACAUGGCAACUUUCCUUUUUGUAGCAUGGUUAAUUUAUUUUUUAUUACCAUGGCAAAUUUCAUUUUGCAUUUGCUAUUGCAAAUUUUUCUUUUUCUUACCCAUGGGAAAUUUACCUUUACUGCCAUGGCAAAAUUACAUAUCUUGCCAUGGCAAUUUUUUUAUUUUUUUAUUUUGCCAUGGCAAUAUUUCCUUUUGCUUUGUCAUGGCAAAUUUUGGAUUCAUUGACAUGGCAAUUUUCACCUUUUGUUUCGCACGACAAUAUUUUCAUUCAUUGAGAUGGAAAAUUUACAUUUAUUGUUACGGCAAAUUUACUUCAACAUACAUGGCAACAUUUUGCUUUUUGGUUUUGCCAUGGCAAUAUUUUUCAUUAAUUGACAUGGCAAACUUGCAUUUAUUGCCAUGGCAAUUUUAUUUUAACAUACAUGGCAAAAUUUCCCCCUUUAGUUUUGCCAUGGCAAUUUUCCCUUUUGUUCCCCUGGGCAAAUUCAUGUCUACUGUCAAGGCAAAAGUACUUCAACAUACAUGGCAAACUUUAACUCUUUGUUUUGCUUUUACAUGGCAAUUUCUUUUCUUUUUCUUGACUUUCCAUGUUGGCGAAAUUAUAUUUUCUACCAUGGCAAUUUUAUUUUCUGUAUCACGGAAAAUUUCAUUUUUUUCCUUUUCUGUUAUUUUUUUUAGCAUGAUGGCAUUUUUAUUUUACCACCAUGGCAAUUUUAUUUUUUGUAACGUGGCAAAUUAUUCUGUUGGACCAUGGCAAUUUUUUUCUUUUUCUUUACUUUUCAUGAUGGCAACUUUAUUUAGCUACGUCGCAAAGUUUUUCUUGUAACAUGGACGAUAAAAAUUGUCUACCAUGGCAAGCUCAUUUAUGUGCAUACAUCCUCCCUUUUUCAAUUUUUCGAUAAAUUUCUUUUUAAGUAAAUUAUUUUUGAAAUAAAACAUGGUGAUUUUUUCUCUAAUAACAAUAAAAAUUAUGUUUUCGUCUUUUUUACUACGAUGGCGAUUUUAUUUGAUUACCAUGGCAGUUUUAUUUUUUAUGUAUUAUACCAUUGGACCAUGGAAAAUUAUUUUUCUUCUUAUUGUUCAUGAUGGCAACUUUAUUAAAUAAUCCUUUUCGGGAUGACCCGUCAUGAUGAAGCCCAGAGCGAAUGUCAAUUGGUUAAUGAGAAGAAAAACAAAUUUGGGCUUUCAUUUGUCUCAGAAAAAAAAACUAGUUUUGUUCGCGCCGGAACUAAUUUUAUUUCCCACGACAAUAUUCGAACGACAAUAUUUUCCCUCGUACCGAACUUCAGUUCGGACCGCUCGCGUCCCGGCCCGAACGUUCAGCAUAUAUCGAGGUCCUUUAUUAUACAUUUAAAUUCUUUUUUUCUAUUUUUGAGCAUCAGUACAGACACAAGCGCUCAUAUACACGCGCAUACACUCACCCCUAUGAACGCACUCACGCACACCCUACCCUCCGAGAGACUGAGCCGGCAUACCAUCUUGAGAAUUACGAAGUCACCGUAGGCGCUUCGUCGUCGACGAGAACGUCUCCUCCAAUUGAAAGCACAUCGCCGGAAAUCCUGAAAUAAAUUCAGAAAUAAUGCGAGCACCAGGAUUUGAACCCUGAUAGGUUGGGGAUACCACUGUCCACCUAACCAUCUCAACCACAGGUUGGUUCGCAUUAUACAUUCAAAUUCAUUUAAUGUGGUGUAACUACUAAAAGAGUUUCACUUUGAUGCAUGAGCAACAAAUGGAGACGUUUGAAACCAUAAACACAAAUUUAUAGCGCCAGCAUCUAAUUACUCCUUAUACUCUUGUUAUAUAUAGUUCGAGUCGGACAGAGAAACAAAUCAGACGACCAUGGCCCCUCUCCAAGCUCUCUCCUCCGUCCUCGUCCUCCUGCUCCUCACACAGCACGCGCGCACGGCGAGGGCGAGCACGCUGGAGGACACGUGCAGGCUCGUCGGCACCGGCGGGGCGCAGGACUACGACUUCUGCGUGAAGACGCUGGGGGCGGACCCGGCGAGCGCGAUGGCCGACGAGCUCGGCCUGGUGGUCAUCGCGGUGAAGAUCGCCAUGGCGACCGCCAAGGCCACCGGCGACCGCAUCGCCCGGCUGCAGGCCUCCGAGACGUCGCCCCGGCGGCGGCUGGUCCUGGACGAGUGCGCCAACGACUACGCCUUGACAGUGCGCUGGCUGGGGCGCGCCUCCAUGGACUUGGCCGCGGGCGGGGACGAGGACCGGCUGACGGAGGCGGCCACCCUGCUGGAGCACGUUCGUGGCACGCCGGCGCGCUGCGACAAGGCGUUCGUCCUCUGGGCCGGCGAGAGGACGCCGCUGACCGACGCGGACCACGAGCUCAACGGGGUGACCGUGCUGGCGUUGAAAAUCUUGCGCCAUUGCUUAAAUGACGGGGUAAAAUGAGCAAGUAGCACGAGGCCUUCUUCUACCUCCGGAAGAAAAUGAUCAUCUUUUCCGGCAGUGAAAUAUGUGAUGUGCAACAAUAAAAUGAGUAAUAAUAAUAACUUGCAAAAUUUCCAAUGGAGAUUGUAGAACAUUGUGGUCUUAUCAGUAUUUAUUUAUUUCAAAAAUGACGCUGAAGAUUUUCUCUGAUUCACAAGAGUUCAUUCAGAUCAGGCGAGGAAGGUUACCAUUCGAUUUUCACUGACAAUUAGGUUUUUGAUUGAGGGUUCUGUGAUUCUCCAGCUACAUGUCUUGGGUACGUGGUACCUUUCUCUGACUCUUCUUUUCAUUAUGUAACCUCUCUGGCCUUUACAAAAAAGACGUUCUCAUAACUAAAUGUCUUUCUUGUGAUUCUGAUAGGCCCACCUACGACACAUGCAUGUACACCAUGUUUCUCUACUGUAAUUUAAUGUUAUAUUUAGAUGUUACAAAAAAAUUAUUUACAUGUUACACAAAAGAGUUCAGGGUUCACUUAGAGGAAUAAUUGCUUUGCAGGUAUACAUUUACUGAAAGGGACUGAUGUGCUGAACUUUCGAGAAUUCCGAUUGGUCGUUAAUAUAACCUUUUCUCCUUUUGUUGAAAUGUCCGAAGGAAUUUCCCUUAUUUUAGGUUUUCAACUUGAGGAGUUUCGUGCUUUUUGAGUGGAGCCAUCCACAUAUAUAAUAUGAUUCUCAAAAAUUCAUUAUGAGGUAAAAUCAUUAUAUACAUAUUGUUUCCUGUAUUUUUUGUGUGAGUAGGGCCAGCUUAUUGCAUGAUUAAUAAGACAUUUUUGUGUAGUUCACCGUUUAUUUUAUUAUGUCUGUAUAAACAAGAUUUUUUGGUUAUUUGGCCUCACAAAUGUUCUUUCUUGAACAGCAACCAGCAGAGAACAAGAACAACAAUAGUGAUGAGAAAGGAAGGAGCCGAGUAUGCCACACACUGAUACGAUGGUUUCCCCUGUGUUCUCUAUAUAUGGUAAUCCACUUCUUCACUGACUCAAAUUGUUUACUGGUGAGCUAACAAGAUGGUUUUGUGUCUUCCCUCUUUCUUUGUAAGUGAAUGACUUCAGGUUCUUGGGCAUUAUUCAACUGCCAUACUUGUGGGAAAUAAAUGUACUAAACUUGUGAGAUGGAUUGAUUAAUGGGCAGUGGAAUGGGAUUAGGGCUCGCAAUUUACAAACAAUGAGUUGCAACUAUAAAGAAUGGAUUGAUUAAUGGGCAGCAGAAUGGGAUUAGGGCUCUGCAUAGUUAUGAGUUGCAACUACAAAGAAUGGAUUGAUUAAUGGGUAGUACAAUGGGAUUAGGGAUCUGCACAGUUAUGAGUUGCAACUACAAAGAAUGGAUUGAUUAAUGGGUAGUGAAAUGGGAUUAGGGAUCGCAAUUUACAAACAACUCAAAAACGGUAAAAGUAACAAAAAUAUGAGUCGCACUUGGGUACGUGGUUGAAAAGAAAAUGAAACAUUGAAAUGCUUCUGCCUCCCAAAGAGGCGUACCAGCAUUUUCAUCGAAGGGAAAAUGUUUCAGAAUCUGGGGGUUUCAUCACCUGCUACUGUAACUGUUGUGUGUAAACAUGAGAGGUGCGCCUCUCAUUACAUUCCAUAUUUGCUUGAAUGCAAAUGUUUUAACUAUUAUGUGUAUAUAAAUGAGAGACGCAUUACCUCCAUAUUUGUUGGCAGGUCAAUGUUUUUAGAUAGGGUGCUAUUCAAUUCUAAUUGAUUUGCUCCAGGUAAACCCACGGGUCCUCGUCCUAGGGUUUCCGCCGCCGCCAUGGGCGACUCCCUUGCUUCCGCCCUAGUCUAAGCCGUUUCUCACCAUGAGUCUACGUGGUAGUUCGUCCUCCGGAUUACGGAGGGAGUCUAAGCCGUCUACGUUUCGUCUCGGAAGGAAGGAGCACCCGUCUGGGGCCGUGACCGGCAAGGGAACUGUGGCGGGCGGGACUCUCAUAAGUCCUCCAGUCCGCCGCAAUCUUCCUGGCAAGAUUGCGCCUUUCAAUAACCCGCUCUUCGACCCUAAAGCUACGUCUGCAGCAACCGCGCGCUCUCCAUCGAUGUCGUCCGCUGGCGAUGGGGGUGAAAAAGGGGGGGCCGAUGAGGCCCCUACCCACCCGAAGUCGUUCGGUGGCGAUGCGAUGGUGCCCGCGCGGGGUUCCGGAGGUCAGAUCGAGCCGGCGGAAGAGUUUGAUCACACCAGCAACUGGGAUGAGAGGGAAAGUGUGGGGCUGGAUGGUCCGGAGGUCAGUAUUGGCGGCGAGGUGAACCUAGAUGAUGAUGUUGUUGUGGAAGAGGAACCUGCAGUGGAGCCGGUGGCGGCGCCGCCGCGAUGGAGAUUGCUAGGCCGUUACGUCAGCAUCGGGCGCCCAAACGUCGACGACAUGACGGAACACUUCAGCGAGGUCUGGAAGGUACGAACAAGCCUCAAUAUUGCAAGGAUUAAGAACAAUUGGUAUGCGGUGACCUUCUUCUCCGAGGGAUAUUACAACUUUGUAGCAAGAGGAGGAUCUUGGAUUUUCAAGGGAAACACACUCAUUGUUGGCCCGUUCAAGGAAGGAGAGCAGCCUUCUGAGGCUGUACUGAAUUCAGUCCCGAUCUGGGUCCGUGUAUACAAUGUUCCGUGGGGAAAGCAGACUAUUGCGUAUGACGAAUUUCUUGCAGGCUUGUUGGGUACCGUCAUGGAGGUGGAUGCUGAGGCUGAUGGGAGCAGGGUUCGCGAGUUCUUGCGUAUACGUGUGGACCUGCCACUUGGCCGCCGGCUCCAGACCAAAAUUACCAUCGGCAAGGACCCGGCGAAACAAGUUAUCUACCCACUCCGUUACAAGAGGGUGCCCCACUACUGCUUCUGGUGUGGAUUCAUAGGCCACGAUGGCAACCAGUGCGAGAAGAAAAGGUUGGGUGUUCCGACCCGAGCAUAUGAUGAAGGGUUGAGGUGCUCUCCGUACAGAAAGUUUGAGAAUAGAUCAGGCGUUUGUGGCACCUGGAACCCAGCCUGCAGCAAGACGGGGGCUGAACUUUGCUAGUAAUGCUCCCUCUGAGGUUCUUGGAAAGCCAAGAGAGAGGCGUAGAGGGAAGGGAAGUCAAGAGCAGCAGCAAACACCAGAGAUACCAGUACGGGUUGAUGCUCACGACGGUUUUGGCGAACACAGCAGCUCUGACGGACACAACAUGGACACGGACAUUUCUGAUCGUGUUUUAGCUAUGCGUGUACACUUGGCUAGGCAGAGAGCUGAGGCCAGCAGAGUCCGUACGGUGCGGGCAUCAUCUGAACCUCCAGAGUUUGUCUUCCUUGGAGGUAGAAUACCUGCGCCCCUGCCACUUUCAGUACGCCCACCUAGGAGUGAGCCGAGCCACAGCAGCAACCUUGGGAGCAAGGAUAUGAUCCCGGCCAUGCGUAACCUUCACGACACCUCAGAUUUUUCAUCUGCUGAAUCCGAUCAAUACAUGCAAGAGGCUGAUUCUGUUCUGGGGAAGAAAUUUUCACGUGGGCAAGCGUCCGACGACCUGAAUCCCAACCAGGGAGCUAUGGUGGUGCAUGCAAAGAGGGGCGUUGUCAACAAGCAGAAACGAGGGAAGACUCAACAGAGUGGCAAAGGCAAGAACCAAGAUGAGGAGAAGAUGGACUCGGACAGCAUGGAUGGAGUGGAGGCAACCGGCCUUGGGGCCGCCGGUAAACUGACGGGGUCGGGUGCGCCGCCCCGUCAGGAGCAAUGAAUUGGCUAAGUUGGAACUGCCGGGGGGCGGGGAAUCCCUCGACAGUUCAUGAUCUCGCGUCUCUUGUUAUGACGCAAUCCCCAAGUCUUGUUUUCUUGUGUGAGACUAGGCAAAAUAAAAAUAAGAUGUAUCAUUUGCGUAAUAGGUUAGGGCUUUCUGGUUCUGAAGGAGUCAGUAGUAAUGGUCGUAGUGGCAGCCUAGCACUAUUUUGGCAUGAGUCUAUGUAUGUCGAUGUGCAAGAAGCUAUUGAAAGAUUGAUUGACGUGUAUUUGCGUGUCUCCCCGGACAAGCCAUUAUGGAGAGCUACAUUUGUUUAUGGCGAACCGAGAGUAGAAAAUAGACACAUGAUGUGGGAUAAGCUCAAAGGUCUGCAUGCUCAGAGCGCUCUGCCAUGGGUGAUUAUCGGUGACUUCAAUGAGGGUAUGUGGGAUUUUGAGCAUCAAUCGGAAACUCCGAGACCUGCUGGUCAAAUGAUUAAUUUUCAGGAUGCACUUGAAGCUUGUGGACUCACUGAUCUUGGUUUUUCAGGGCACCCCUUCGCAUAUGAUAAUAGGCGGAGUGGCCGGGCGAACGUCCAAGUUUGGCUGGAUAGAGCGGUGGCGUCCAAUGACUGGAGAGACAUGUUUAUGCAAGCUUCGGUGGCAAACCUUGUAUCGCCAGCGUCGGACCAUAGUCCACUGCUCCUCAAGUUCUCGCUGGAACAGGACAGGUGGCCUCACAGCAGCCGCCGGUACGAGUUGAUGUGGGAGAGAUCGCCGGCGUUAGAGGCCAUUAUCGCAAACUCUUGGUCAAGCAAAGGUACGAAGAGGAACCUGGGAGAUGUACGGGAGGCCCUUGCUACUGUUAUGGCUGAUCUACACACUUGGAGUAAUAAAACUUUUGGCAAUGUUACACGGGAGCUUGAAAAGUCACGUACUAGGCUUGAGGAACUAACCAAUAUGAAUGCAGACCGAGCUUAAAUAAGAUUGGAGAUGGACAAGAUGAAUGAGCUGUUAUACAGGGAGGAAAUGUUGUGGCUCCAGAGAUCUCGGAUUGUUUGUCUAAAGGAAGGGGAUCGUAACACCAAGAUGUUCCACAGGAAGGCAGUUUGGCGAGCGAGAAAGAAUAAAAUCCGAGGGCUGGAGGAUGAGGCGGGUGUUAUUCACACCGAUUAGGCCAACAUGCUACAGAUGGUAAAAUGUUAUUUUCAUAAUUUAUUCACAGCUGACCCAAUGUUGGAUCCACAUGAUGUGUUACAGCUUAUACAGCCCAAGGUGUCCGUGGAGAUGAACAAUAAUCUAUGCAAGGAUUUUACCGAUGAGGAGAUUUCUAAUGCAAUGUUCCAGAUAGGGCCCCUAAAGGUGCCGGGGCCGGAUGGGUUCCCCGCGAGAUUCUUCCAGCGGCAUUGGGCGUGAUGAAGGAUUACAUAAUUAAUGCGGUUAAAUUAUUUUUUGCCUCUGGAGUCAUGCCAGACGAGAUAAACAGCACGGUCAUUGUUUUGAUCCCCAAGAUUGACUCGCCGUCCCGACUCACUGAUUUUCGGCCUAUCAGUCUCUAUAAUGUCAUAUAUAAGGUGAUAGCCAAAUGCCUGGUCAAUAGGUUGAGGCCUAUUUUGGAUGAGUUGGUGUCCCCAGAGCAGAGCGCCUUUGUACCGGGCAGAUUAAUUACAGAUAAUGCAUUAAUCGCUUUUGAGUGUUUUCAUGCGAUCAAACAGGAGAAGGACCCGGAGCAGAGCUUUUGUGCCUAUAAACUGGACCUGUCCAAGGCUUACGAUCGGGUAGAUUGGGUUUUCUUGGAGUGAGUGAUGCAACAAAUCGGUUUCUCUAACCGAUGGGUGGAUUGGAUAAUGAGGUGUGUCACCUCGGUGAGGUAUUGUGUGAAAGUCAAUGGAGCCCUCUCGGAUUCAUUCGCACCGUCUCGUGGACUACGGCAGGGAGACCCCCUCUCACCUUUCCUUUUCCUUUUUGUUGCUGACGGUCUUGAUACUAUUCUAAAACAGGAGAUUGCAACCAACCGCCUCACUCCACUCCGGGUGUGCGCCCAAGCUCCAGGCAUCUCACACCUCCUGUUCGCGGAUGACACCUUAUUGUUCUUUCGUGCUAAUGGAGAGGAGGCUGCCCAAGUCAAAGAAGUUAUCAAUACAUAUGCUAGAGCUACGGGCCAGCUCAUAAAUCCUGCCAAGUGCUCUAUAAUGUUCAGCCCCAAAUGUUCACAAGCUAACAAGCAGGAGGUCAUGCACAACUUGGACGUGGUGAAUAUGAGCUUUGAGCAGAAAUAUCUUGGCUUUCCAACGCCAAGUGGCCGCUUUUCAAAAGGGAAACUACACAAUCUUCAGCAACACCUGACAAAGAGAAUUAUACAGUGGGGAGAAUUGAUGUCCCAAGCAGGACGUGAGGUUCUUAUUAAGGCGGUGGCGCAGGCCCUACCCACCUUCCUAAUGAGUUUGUUUAAAUUUCCUAGAAGCACCUGCGAUGAUUUGGGGCAGAUGAUUCGUAGCUACUGGUGGGGCACGUACAGAGGCAAGAGGAAAACCCACUGGAAAUCUUGGGACUCGAUGCUAAGGCCCAAAUCGGCUGGGGGUAUGGGAUUCAAGGACUUCAGACUCUUCAACCAAGCAAUGUUAGCUCGGCAAGCAUGGCGUAUUUUGGUCAACCCGGAAUGUCUUUGUACGCGCGUCUUGAAGGCAAGGUAUUUCCCUAAUGGACGAUUAUAAGAUACUGUUUUCACUAGCAACGCGUCGCAAACUUGGCAGGCCAUUGUGCAUGGGUUGGAAUUGCUGAAGAAAGGCUUAGUCUGGCGCAUCGGUAACGGGCAGUCGAUCCGAAUUUGGCGGGACUCCUGGAUACCACACCCUGUUGGUCGGCCACCAAUUACCCAACAAGGAAGGUGCUGUCUCCGCCGAGUCUCGGAGCUACUAGACGAGCAUGGUGCAUGGCGCGGAACCCUACUUCAACAGUACUUUUUGCCCGUUGAUGUUCAGGAGAUACUAAAGAUUAAAGCGUCCCCUCGGCUGGGGGCAGAUUUCCUUGCAUGGGAUGCAGAACGUACUGGUAUCUUCACCGUACUUAGCGCGUACCGGCUGGCGCUUGAGGACAAGCUUUGUCCCUCUUCAGUCGCAGCGAGCAGGGCACCGGACGGGCGACGUGCCGUCUGGGCAUUAUUAUGGAGGUGCCCUGCUCCUCCUAAGGUGCGUGUGUUUGCAUGGCGUUUGGCUACUAACUCCCUUGCCACAUGGUCUAAUAAAUUUAGUCGACACAUGGAGGUUACUGAUAUAUGCCCAUUAUGUGGUCUCGAGCGCGAGGACACUUUUCAUGUGUUUUGCAGGUGCCCUCGGACGGUGCAUUUGUGGCGGACUAUGGCGGAGGUGUGGAGUAUACCGGACAUCGAGUCAGUCCGUAACACCGGCCCAGAGUGGCUCCUGAACCUAAUUGCAGAAAGCAAUGAAGGGGACCGGCUGCGCCUGAUUAUGCUUUUGUGGAGAUGUUGGCAUGUGUGCAACAAGAUCACUCAUGACAAACCGGCGCCGCCUGUGGAGGUAUCCCGUCGCUUUUUGCAGAGCUACGUAACCUCACUGCUCGGGAUCCAGCAGUAUCCACAGGGAGAUUGGGACAAAGGGAAGAUGACCAUCCAACAAGAAGGUGCAGAACAACCUAUAUCACACGUGGGAGGUGUGCCACGAAUAGUCCACAAAUGGAGUCCCCCACCCGCCAACUGGACGAAGCUGAAUGUCGAUGGCUCCUUUUCCCAUGAUGACGGGAGGGCCGGGACGGGAAUGGUGCUCCGUGACCAGGAAGGGGCCAUUAUUUUCUCCGUGUGUCGCUCGCUAUGGUCUUGACCGGACCCUCUACAUGCCGAGCUGGCUGGGUGCAUGGAGGGCAUAGCUUUGGCCCUCCAAUGGACAGAGUUGCCGUUUAUCGCCGAGUGCGAUAGUCUGCAGGCAGUGCAACUGAUAAAUGCCUCAGGACAAGACCGCUCGCAGUAUGCCAUGGUGGUCUCGGAAGUGAAGCAUCUUGUGUUGAAAGGGAGUGUCAUGUUAUUCAUAUUUCUCGAGAUCAGAAUAAUGUAAGCCAUGCGUUGGCGAAAUUUGGAAGGACGGAGGACCGUACUGUGGUCUGGCUCCGCUCCGGCCCGGACAAUAUCCCUAGCUUGUGUAGGGAGGACCUUCUUGGCUCUUGAGUAAUACAAAUCCCUUUUACCCCGCAAAAAAAAAUUCUAACUGAUUUAACAUAAACAUUUUGGCUAAAAAAAGGUUAAUCAAUUGACAAUAUUGCAACAUAUGCAUGAGGAUCCCUCGAAAAAAAACAUAUGCAUGAGGAUAAUAUUUAUGCUCCGUUGAAACGCACGAGCAAUUAUCUAGGAUGAUGGGACUUAACAAAUUGUCAAAUUUGGAGGGAACACCAGAUGGAUUUGGAUUGGGCUGACAACAAGUGAAGUAAUAAUAAUAGAGUGGCCAAAGAGCUGAAGUUGAGGGGCUCCUGAUAGAUCCAUUUGUUGGCCCGUGGCAAUGCACGGGCGUUCUACUAGUUUUCAUUAAUAGAUCCAUUUCCCCUCAAUCUCUGGCAAAUUCUUUGGGGCGUGCUACGCGUCAGCCGGCGGAUCUUUUUAAAAGAUCCAUCAGGUUCUGAGCCUUCGAAUCUGACAUGAUCUCGCGGCCGAGCGUCUUCCUCACUUUUGUAACAGAAAUCGUGUUGUGAGAACCCUUUUGCAACAUAGGUCUUGUUGCAUAAACGUCAUCGCGUAGAACAACACUAGCACACUUGUGGGAACUGUUGUUAUGGCGGCACCAGCGGUUGUGACUGAGCUCGAGGAGGCAACAACCAUGCAUGCUUGUCCACGCCGGUGCUCCCUCGGGAGGGCGGGGUGACGGCGGACGCGGCUCCCCGUGGAUGCGGAUGCCGGUGCUUUCCCGAUACGGCGGACGCGACUUGAGGACUUGGGGCGGCUUCAAAUGGAACCUGCGUCCUGCGGGGAUGAGAGUUCGGAGAAAGAGAGGAAAAUGGCUGGGAGAAGACAACGGAGGUUUUUGAAGAUAAGGUAAGGGGCACAUGGCUGGUUGGGGCUAGUAAAAACAUAUGUGAACGUCUGCGGUAUGAUCAGAUGGGAUCCAAUGUUGUAUGGGCGGCGGAACGUUGUCCGUGAUCGGUGAAUGAUUUCUCUAAACUUUUUUACCAUUUGUUAAUUACAUUUGUCAAAAUUUUAUUGUGGAAGUGGGUACAUCUCAGUCGACUGAGACUUAACCUCAGUCAAGUGAUAUAGUACAAGGAGAAAAAGAAAAGAAAAAUGAAGAAUCCUUUUUGCAUGGAUCUCCAUGCAAGAUCAAAGGAAUAUAGCAUCGAUUGAGACAAAACAAAGUCUCAGUCGACGGAGUACUCAGCAAAACUAUUUUAUUAUCGGAAUCAAUUACUUCCGAACGACCAGUAUUUUAAGCUUUUGGGCCGAACGUGCUUUUCAUCAUUGGAUUCAGGUAUGAAUCUUAGAACAGAGGAAAUUAGCCAGGUCAGCUUUUUAUUUCGUUCGAGGAAAUUGACUACCGCCGCGAAUGCUCCCCACCACCACUCCUGUGUUUCCCCGUCCCAGCCACUCCUUACCCAUUUCUCUGCCACACAGUCGCCCCAUCUACCCCCACCAACACCGUCCCAGCCCUUUCGUUUACUCUGGCGACGGUGUUGGCGGUGAUCCCAGCGUGGUUCAGUGGCGCUAUGUGGAGAUGGAGGCUCACGCGCAUCAUGCGGUUGGUGGAUCUCGGCUGCUGCGGCCAUGUCGAUGGCGGCGGAGGCGAGGGACCCACACUUGCUGGUGUCGUGAUUCCAGUGGGCCGGAGCUGUUGGAGGUGAGGACUGGAGGUGCUCCUUUCCGCGCGUUGUCUCCGUCAGCCACCUCGACCCCUGGUGGAGGGGCGGUCUCAAGUCUCACCGACGGUUUCUCGGUGCGUGGCCCCGUGUUGAUGGCGGCAGAUAGACCGGCUGUAUGCCUGGUCGUGCUGCUAUUUUGGAGGGUAGGAGAUCAGGCUCGCGGGUGCCCGCGCCCAAUCUGAAGCCGGGAGGGAGACGCUCUUGUGUAGUUGUGUGUGCCCAUCGUCGCUGCAGCAGCUCCGCUCGUGCACGCCAGCAAGAGCUCCGCCGCCAGCUCCUGUCGCUUUGGGUCUUACAUCAUCUGCCGCAUCCCCAAACAUCAUCGACUGUGGCCCUAUCCGGUGAGCACCAACCUCUCUUUUUUGCUUGUAACUAGAUGCUGCUUUGUGGCACCACAAGAAAUAUGUCAACUUGUGACCCUUGCUAUUGGGCAUUGAAAGGUCAUUGUUUUCAUUUGCGACUUUUUUGUGACCAAAAACAGAAGGUCAAAAGCUGGCAGUCGUAAACUGAAAUUAGUGACCUUCUUUGUGAUAUGUAAAAGGUCGUUGGUUCCAUGACCAAAUUUUUGGUCACUAGCAACCUCCCCAUGCCACGUAGGCAUCCAGCGUGGCAAGCUGGUGUGACACAAGAUUCAGCCCGGUCCAAUUCGGUUUUCUACAUGGGCCUAGCCCAACAAUUCAGCCUUUUUACUGUAUAUUUUCUCUAUUAAUUUUCUCUAGCUAUAUGGGCCUAGCCCAACAAUUUGGCAUUUUUAUUUUCUAGGCAUGGCCUUUUGCGGUCCAUUUCAUUUUUAUUUUCGAGGGUUUUUUGUGGUCCAGUUUUUAGAUGGGUCCCAAUUGUCAGAUUUUUCCUGGCAGUAGAUCCACAUCGCUUUUUAAGCAGUAUAUAUAAAACAGGAAGAAGAAAAGAAUAUGAAAAUCUUCAAAUAACAACUAAAAUAGGUUUAUUACAAUAUAUUCUGUGCAGAACAGAACAUGUGAAACUCCAUACACUCGUUCACAUCACAACAACCAGUUUAACCUACAAAUAUUGCAUGCCCAGGAACUUAAAACUUCACGUACAUAACCAUACAAUAUUCCACACAAUCACAAAUAUUGUGAUUGAAAAAUAAAACACUCUGCCAAGUUAAAGCUAGCUAUUCUUGGAUACCAUGGAACAUGCUCUUCAACAUAGGAAGAAGUCAUCAAUGGUGUUCUAUCAACAACACAAGCUCCAUUCACCUACAAGAACAGAAUGGAAUAUCAAGUACUUGGAUCGUUCAAGCAGAUUACAAGCAACAUAUAUAUAUAUAUAUAUAUAUAUAUGUAGAAGUACAUCAGAAAAUAUGAUGGAGCAAUCGGACAACAAAUACAUUAAGUAAACAGCCCAACCGAUGAGUGAUGACGACAAGCAAAGAGUAUAAACCCAGGUUUGGACAUAAAUAGUGUCAACUCAAGUAGAACAUAAUAAGGCAGUAAACUCAAGCAGAACAUAAUUAAGCACGAUGAAAGGGACCAUCCAAUUAAAUUCCAUUCCCAUCUUCUUCAGUAAGG
Molecule: long non-coding RNA, 38009 nt
Filed under: Triticum aestivum (bread wheat)
Lineage: Eukaryota; Viridiplantae; Streptophyta; Magnoliopsida; Poales; Poaceae
Description: long non-coding RNA (TAES_LNC018903)
Source: RNAcentral